Long non-coding RNA from Thalassophryne amazonica, 236 nucleotides. RefSeq lists it as uncharacterized. NCBI's taxonomy places the organism in Eukaryota, Metazoa, Chordata, Actinopteri, Batrachoidiformes, Batrachoididae. The transcript has 3 exons. The record is from RefSeq and is a predicted model, not a curated record.
UACAUUGAUCAGGUUUAGAGCUCAACUCAAACUAUGGCUGAAAACAAACCAGUCAUGUGACCACUAGACUUUUAACAUUCCCUUGUGUUGUUUAUUUUGUAUAUUAUAUUUUCUUUCUUAUGUAUUUGCCUGCCUAGGGACUACGGAUGAAAACUAGCUUUGUAGCUAUAAUCCGGCAUAUUUACAUUUGUUUUUAUACUGAUGUUCAUUAAUGUGCAUUAGAGUCUGUUAGAAAA